UCCUUAUGGAGCGAAGUCUUUGAUUCCCCGCUGCCAAGAAAAGCUUCUAGCGAGAUAAAAGGUGCCUGUACCGCAAACCGACACAGGUAGGCGAGGAGAGAAUCCUAAGGUGUGCGAGAGAACUCUGGUUAAGGAACUCGGCAAAAUGACCCCGUAACUUCGGGAGAAGGGGUGCUUUCUUAACGGAAAGCCGCAGUGAAUAGGCCCAAGCGACUGUUUAGCAAAAACACAGCUCUCUGCGAAGCCGUAAGGCGAAGUAUAGGGGGUGACACCUGCCCGGUGCUGGAAGGUUAAGGAGAGGGGUUAGCGUAAGCGAAGCUCUGAACUGAAGCCCCAGUAAACGGCGGCCGUAACUAUAACGGUCCUAAGGUAGCGAAAUUCCUUGUCGGGUAAGUUCCGACCCGCACGAAAGGUGUAACGAUUUGGGCACUGUCUCAACCAGAGACUCGGUGAAAUUAUAGUACCUGUGAAGAUGCAGGUUACCCGCGACAGGACGGAAAGACCCCGUGGAGCUUUACUGUAGCCUGAUAUUGAAUUUUGGUACAGUUUGUACAGGAUAGGCGGGAGCCAUUGAAACCGGAGCGCUAGCUUCGGUGGAGGCGCUGGUGGGAUACCGCCCUGACUGUAUUGAAAUUCUAACCUACGGGUCUUAUCGACCCGGGAGACAGUGUCAGGUGGGCAGUUUGACUGGGGCGGUCGCCUCCUAAAGUGUAACGGAGGCGCCCAAAGGUUCCCUCAGAAUGGUUGGAAAUCAUUCGUAGAGUGCAAAGGCAUAAGGGAGCUUGACUGCGAGACCUACAAGUCGAGCAGGGACGAAAGUCGGGCUUAGUGAUCCGGUGGUUCCGCAUGGAAGGGCCAUCGCUCAACGGAUAAAAGCUACCCCGGGGAUAACAGGCUUAUCUCCCCCAAGAGUCCACAUCGACGGGGAGGUUUGGCACCUCGAUGUCGGCUCAUCGCAUCCUGGGGCUGUAGUCGGUCCCAAGGGUUGGGCUGUUCGCCCAUUAAAGCGGUACGCGAGCUGGGUUCAGAACGUCGUGAGACAGUUCGGUCCCUAUCCGUCGUGGGCGUAGGAAAUUUGAGAGGAGCUGUCCUUAGUACGAGAGGACCGGGAUGGACGCACCGCUGGUGUACCAGUUGUUCUGCCAAGGGCAUAGCUGGGUAGCUAUGUGCGGAAGGGAUAAGUGCUGAAAGCAUCUAAGCAUGAAGCCCCCCUCAAGAUGAGAUUUCCCAUAGCGUAAGCUAGUAAGAUCCCUGAAAGAUGAUCAGGUUGAUAGGUUCGAGGUGGAAGCAUGGUGACAUGUGGAGCUGACGAAUACUAAUAGAUCG
RNAcentral lists this ribosomal RNA (1326 nucleotides) under Bacillus cereus. RNAcentral's name for it is "partial 23S ribosomal RNA". It matches the Rfam family "Bacterial large subunit ribosomal RNA", at positions 1575 to 2911 of the family's 2925-position model. The record is from RNAcentral. Lineage: Bacteria; Bacillati; Bacillota; Bacilli; Caryophanales; Bacillaceae. RNAcentral also lists the same sequence under 1 other name.